MicroRNA precursor from Gorilla gorilla gorilla (western lowland gorilla), 85 nucleotides. It matches the Rfam family "mir-3151 microRNA precursor family". The record is from Rfam. Lineage: Eukaryota; Metazoa; Chordata; Mammalia; Primates; Hominidae.
CUUUGGGGUGACGGGUGGGGCAAUGGGAUCAGGUGCCUCAGAGGUCAUCCCACCUAAUCCCACAGCCCCACCUGUCACCCCAAAA